CGGUGGGCAGGGCUGGGGGGCUAGCCCUCCCCCUCUGACGGACCCGAAACGGGCUGUACGCGGGGGCCAGCAACCGUGCGGAAAGGCUGCCUCGAGGGAAAGGAGGAGGGUCGGAGAGGGAUGAACGCGCGUCCUAGCGGAGCCGGGCAGGGUUUCACGCCCUUCGUAGGGAGGGCCUCUGAGACCCGCACGCGCCGAAACGUGUCAGGCCCGGGAGGGAGCAGCACUAAGGCGCGGCUCGUCUGCUGCUGGGAAGACGUGCGCGACUGAACCUCCCUCACUCCGUACCUGAGGGGUAGCCGAUCCGUCCGGAUCCACCG
This 320-nucleotide signal recognition particle RNA is filed under the name Nitrososphaerota archaeon. Its description in RNAcentral is "signal recognition particle sRNA". It matches the Rfam family "Archaeal signal recognition particle RNA". Lineage: Archaea; Thermoproteati; Nitrososphaerota. The record is from RNAcentral. RNAcentral also lists the same sequence under 1 other name.